Molecule: long non-coding RNA, 225 nt
Filed under: Salvia miltiorrhiza (redroot sage)
Lineage: Eukaryota; Viridiplantae; Streptophyta; Magnoliopsida; Lamiales; Lamiaceae
Description: long non-coding RNA (SMIL_LNC000136)
Source: RNAcentral
AACUUAGCCAAACAUAAAGUAAAUAACACAAGCAAAAGAUAUAAAGGAAAACAUAAAGUAAAAACUGAAAUAGAAACUUACUGAAGACAGAAGGGUACUUACGGCCAAAAGUGCCGCAGAAAACAUGAACAGAAAAUUAAACAGCUAUACCCAUAAGGGGCGACUACUCCUACCUAACUAUGGAAAGUAAAACUACAGCAACGGUCUCUCAAAAUUCGUGCUCCC